AAUACCCUACUGUGUUCGUGAUUGUGACCACCAGGUCCUGAGCCAACACUUGAAUAUAGGGACCUCUAUUCGCGAUAGCGAUGCGAUAGGCUGCCCUCGGGUUUGCCAAGGCAAAGCAUCGGAGCGGGCCCCGCCUGCGUAUGCAGGUUCAUGACUAGGUUACACACGGCAUGGUGGGGUACUU
This 184-nucleotide non-coding RNA is filed under the name Desulfobacteraceae bacterium. RNAcentral's name for it is "6S RNA". It matches the Rfam family "6S / SsrS RNA". From Rfam's summary of the family: E. coli 6S RNA was the first non coding RNA to be sequenced, but its function was unknown until recently. It consists of 184 nucleotides that fold into an extended hairpin structure with a large single-stranded internal bulge. Lineage: Bacteria; Pseudomonadati; Thermodesulfobacteriota; Desulfobacteria; Desulfobacterales; Desulfobacteraceae. The record is from RNAcentral.